RNAcentral lists this ribosomal RNA (792 nucleotides) under uncultured bacterium. Its description in RNAcentral is "bacterial SSU rRNA". It matches the Rfam family "Bacterial small subunit ribosomal RNA", at positions 61 to 849 of the family's 1533-position model. The record is from RNAcentral.
GUCGAACGAGAGACCUUCGGGUCUCUAGUGGCGAACGGGUGAGUAACACGUAGGGAACCUGCCCGCGCACCGGGAAUACGCUCUGGAAACGGAGAACAAAUCCCGAUGUACAGGAAGGAGGCAUCUUCUUUCUGUGAAACAUCCUUUAGGGGAUGGGGCGCGGAUGGACCUGCGGUGCAUUAGUUUGUUGGCGGGGUAAAGGCCCACCAAGACGAUGAUGCAUAGCCGGCCUGAGAGGGCGGACGGCCACAUUGGGACUGAGACACGGCCCAGACUCCUGCGGGAGGCAGCAGUAGGGAAUUUUCGUCAAUGGGCGCAAGCCUGAACGAGCGAUGCCGCGUGAGUGAAGAAGGCCUUCGGGUCGUAAAGCUCUGUUGCGGGGGAAAAAAGGCAGCAUCAGGAAAUGGGUGCUGACUGAUGGUGCCCCGCCAGAAAGUCACGGCUAACUACGUGCCAGCAGCCGCGGUAAUACGUAGGUGGCGAGCGUUAUCCGGAAUGAUUGGGCGUAAAGGGUGCGCAGGCGGUCCUGCAAGUCUGGAGUGAAACGCAUGAGCUCAACUCAUGCAUGGCUUUGGAAACUGGAGGACUGGAGAGCAGGAGAGGGCGGUGGAACUCCAUGUGUAGCGGUAAAAUGCGUAGAUAUAUGGAAGAACACCAGUGGCGAAGGCGGCCGCCUGGCCUGUUGCUGACGCUGAGGCACGAAAGCGUGGGGAGCAAAUAGGAUUAGAUACCCUAGUAGUCCACGCCGUANACGAUGAGGACCAAGUGUUGGGGGUGANACCUCAGUGCUGA